Molecule: long non-coding RNA, 9348 nt
Filed under: Malus domestica (apple)
Lineage: Eukaryota; Viridiplantae; Streptophyta; Magnoliopsida; Rosales; Rosaceae
Description: long non-coding RNA (MDOM_LNC017442)
Source: RNAcentral
UUGGUAAGCCUCCUAACCCAAUUCCAAUUCCUGUUUCUACUAACAAGUUGUUACCUUCUGUGAUUCAGGCACCCGUCCUUGAGCUUAAACCAUUGCCGGACCAUUUAAAGAAUGUAUUUUUGGGAGAUGACGAGACAUUGCCCGUCAUUGUUUCCUCAUCACUCACGGCAUUGAAGAAGGAGAAGUUGAUUCGGGUGUUGAAAGAGCAUAAAACGGCAAUUGGAUGGACAUUGGCCGACAUUAAGGGAAUUAGCCCUACAACUUGCAUGCAUCGCAUACUUCUAAAGGAGGGGGCUAAUCUAACUCGAGAGGCUCAACGUCGACUUAACCCUCCAAUGAUGGAAGUUGUGAAGAAGGAGAUUAUCAAGCUUCUUGAUUGUGAAGUCAUUUACCCCAUCUCAGAUAGUCGUUGGGUUUCACCGGUUCAAGUUGUACCAAAGAAAUCAAGAGUCACAGUGGUGAAGAAUGCAGAGAAUAAGCUUGUGCCUACAUGUAUCCAAACCGGUUGGCGAGUGUGCAUUGACUAUAGGAAGCUAAACGCCACCACAAGGAAGGACCACUUCCCUUUGCCGUUCAUUGAUCAAAUGCUUGAAAGGUUAGCCGAUCAUUCUUUUUAUUACUUUCUAGAUGGUUAUUCGGGAUAUAAUCAAAUUGUUAUAGCUCCAGAUGAUCAAGAAAAGACUACUUUUACUUGUCCAUUGGCACUUUUGCUUAUCGUCGAAUGCCAUUCGGGUUGUGUAAUGCACCAGCCACGUUCCAACGAUGCAUGGUAAGUAUAUUCUCAGAUUUUGUGGAAAAGAUUAUUGAGGUUUUCGUGGAUGAUUUUAGUGUCUUUGGUUAUUCGUUUGAUGGUUGUUUAGAUAAUCUCACUUUAAUCUUAAACCGGUGCAUUGAAACUAACCUUGUUUUGAAUUGGGAAAUAUGUCACUUUAUGGUUAAACAAGGCAUAGUUUUAGGUCACAUAGUUUCAGAAAAGGGAAUAGAGGUUGAUAAAUCAAAAAUAGAUCUUGUGCGUUACUUACCAUCUCCCACUACGGUGAGAGAGGUUCGUUCUUUUCUUGGACAUACAGGAUUCUAUAGGCGAUUCAUCAAAGAUUUUUCCAAGAUUUCCCAACCCCUUUGCCGACUUCUUCAAAAGGAUGUGACAUUCAAGUUCGAUGAUGAGUGUGAGAAGGCAUUCAAUCACCUAAAGGAGAAGCUAACUUCGGCCCCCAUCAUAGUCCCAUCAGAUUGGAGCCUUCCUUUUGAGCUUAUGUGUGAUGCUUCAGAUUAUGCAUUAAGGGCUGUUUUGAGACAAAUGAGGGACAAGAAGCCACACGUCAUCUACUAUGCAUCCCGGACUUUAAAUGAUGCACAAUUGAAUUAUUCCACCACUGAAAAAAAACCUCUUGCUGUUGUAUUUGCUUUAGAUAAGUUUCGUUCAUAUCUUCUUGGAACUAAAGUUAUUAUUUACACUGAUCACGCAGCUUUGAAGUAUUUGCUCACAAAGAAGGAGGCCAAGCCAAGGCUUAUUCGUUGGAUGCUACUUCUCCAAGAGUUUGACGUGGAAAUCCGGGACAAGAAAGGAAGUGAAAACGUGGUGGCUGACCAUUUGAGCCGAAUGGUGCAUGAAGAAGAUGCCAAUGUCGUGCCCAUCCCAGAGACAUUCCCAGAUGAGCCGUUGUUGUCCAUUAAGGUAAGUAAGCCAUGGUAUGCCGAUCUAGUUAAUUAUUUGGUCACUAAGCAUGUCCCAAGCACCCUAAAUAAGCACCAACGUGAUAAACUCAAGAAGGAUGCAUGGUUUUAUGUUUGGGAUGACCCUUAUUUGUGGAAACAUUGCCCUGACCAGAUUCUAUGUAGGUGUGUGCAUGAUUCCGAGUUUCAUUCGAUUUUAACUUUCUGUCACACUUAUGCAUGUGGGGGUCAUUUUGGCACACAACGCACAACACAUAAGGUUUUAGAAUGUGGAUUUUAUUGGCCUACGAUCUUUAGAGAUGCUAGAACCUUUUGUAUAACCUGUGAUCGUUGUCAACGAAUGGGUACUAUAACAUCAAAAGACCAAAUGCCGCAACAUCCUAUAUAUUCUGUUAAGAUUUUUUAUGUUUGGGGUAUAGAUUUCAUGGGUCCAUUUCCUUCCUCCCAUGGUUUUCUUUAUAUAUUACUUGCUGUGGAUUAUGCUUCGAAAUGGGUGGAAGCAAAAGCCACCCGUACUAAUGAUUCUAAAGUGGUUGCAAAUUUUAUUAGAACUAACAUAUUUGCAAGGUUUGGAAUGCUAAGAGUGCUCAUUAGUGAUGGAGGAUCCCAUUUUUGUAAUCGAACCAUUGAGGCGUUGCUCAAGAAGUACAAUGUCACGCAUAAGGUUUCCACACCUUAUCAUCCGCAAACAAGUGGGCAAGCCGAGGUUUCAAAUAGGGAAAUCAAGCAAAUUUUGGAGAAGACAGUGGGACCAACUCAAAAAGAUUGGAGCUUGCGCUUAAAUGAUGCAUUGUGGGCAUAUAGAAUGGCCUACAAAACACCAAUUGGGAUGUCCCCAUUUCGGCUGAUCUAUGGGAAACCAUGUCAUCUUUCGGUUGAAUUGGAGCAUCGUGCACAUUGGGCCAUCAAAACAUUCAAUAUGGACAUUGAUGCCGCUGAGAUCCAUAGGAAAUUGCAAUUCAAUAAGCUUGAGGAGAUUAGGAAGGAAGCUUAUGAGAACGCUCUCAUUUACAAGGAGAAAGCAAAGGCCACCCAUGACAAGAUGAUUCGUGGCAAGACAUUCUCUAUAGGGCAGAAAGUGUUACUUUUCAAUUCCUGUCUUCAGUUGUUUCCGGGUAAGUUGCUUUCUAAAUGGAUUGGACCUUUUGUUAUUACUAAUGUUUUUCCUCAUGGUGCAGUCCAAAUUCAAAGUUUGAAGAUGGAACAUGAAUUCAAGGUCAAUGGACACCGUUUGAAGCCCUAGUAUGAGACAUUUGAGGAGCAUGUCGUGGAGGACAUACCCCUCCAUGCUGUGGACCCUAUUCAAGCUUAAAUAGAGGUAUCGUCCGACUGGAAGACGUUAAAGCAAGCGCUUCUUGGGAGGCAACCCAUGUGGUCAAACGAGGGAUUGAAGGAAUUCGAGCUCCAUAACCAGAUUUGCGUUCUUAAACUCUACCCUUUCUUGUUUUUACUUUGCCAUGUUUGUCGUGUUUGUUAGUUGUGUUGUUUGCUUGCAUAUAUGUGAGUCUAUAUUUGAAACAUUGAGGACAAUGUUUGGUUUAAGUGUGGGGGGGUAACCAAGUGUUUUUAUUGCAAAUUCGUGGGAUUUUAUCACCCAUAACUUCCAAAGUUGUUCCUUGCUAUUUUUAAGUCUUUUUAAGCUGUUUUGGUGCAUUUUAGUGUGUUUUGACAUAAAAAUCCAAAAAUCUCAUAAAAUUUUGAAAAAUUGUUUUGAAAAACCCAAAAAGAGUUGUUUUUGUGUGUUUGUUUAUGUCUUAGGGUACCUUCCAACACAAGGAUGAUGAUUUGAUUUUUAAUUGCAUGACUGUUAAAAAAAGUUAUAAACAUGGAUGAAAGUUUGAUAUACUCUUUGGUUUAUGCUUGGUUGUAGUUAACGUUUACGAAUUCACAUGUAAUCACAAAGGAAAAAAAUAAGUUUUUGUAACAUGCUUGAAGGAAGGAACUCAAACUAACGCUACAACCCUGAGACACUUGAGCCUAAACUUUAUUUGGAGAGUUAUUAAUCUGUGAUUUGUUGUUUUCUAAAGUCGUUGCAUGAUCUCAUUAUUCUUUGCUUGGUUGCUACUUAGAAUGCGUUUUAUCACUUUAGUUCCAAAUACUAGAACUUAUACCCGUUUCAUUCAAAACUUAAAAUUGAAUGCAUAACAUAUAGCAAGAUGAAGUUGUUAGUAGUUACCACCAGAGCCAAAAAGCCUUCAUUACAUGCAUUUGUUUUUGUAGGUUUAACCCCUUUGAGCCUUAAUUAGCCUAUUUUCUUUGUUAGCCACAUUAUCCUCACCUAGCCUAGAAUAGGACUAUCCACACCCUUGUUCUUAAAGUAUAGUGGAGCAAGACUUAGAGGGAAUUCCUUUUGAUCAACAUUGUUCUAGAAAACAAGUGAGGGGGAAGGUUUUCAAAAGUGUGUAAGAGCCAAAGUCUUAUAAGAGGCACGGGUAGAAAAAAAAAUAAAAUAAAAUAAAAUAAAAAAAUUCGUGAAAAAUAGAAAGGAAAAAGAAAAGUUGUGAAAAGAAUAAAGAAGAGCUGAAAAAUAUGUGAAAAAGAGCUCUAAAGUGUUGGUUGUUGAAGAAAGGGUCCAAAAAAGCUUGAAUUUGACCCUAAGUGUUGCAUGAAUCUUCCCUUGUGUUUAAAAGUUGAUUUCUGAAUUCUAAAGGGAAUUCUAAGUUAAUUUCAGUACUUUGCUUACUCUUGCUUUAAGAACGUUUGUUUUCCUUACCUUUCUUUGUUAGCCAAUACCCUUAGCCCCAUUACAACCCUUAGACUUUAAUCUUGGUUGUUGUGUAUUUCAAUAUGUGGAGUUUGGGAUUGGUAUGAGCAUAUGGUAUCCCUAGUUCUCGUGUCUAAGUAGUAGUAUUCCGUUCGUGAGAUCAUAUAUAUAUAUACAUGCAUUAAUAAUUCUAGAAAGUGCUUUCUUCGCUUAUAACUUAUGUGAGUGUUAGUCUACAUAUUUACAUCAAUCUUCUCAUAUAUACCUAGUAUAGGGAGUGUAGUCAGAAAUUUUGUGUGAAAAUAGAGUGUAUAUCCGGUGAGGAAUUGAGGGAAUUCUCUAAGGCAUGUUACUACAUUCAAAAUGUUGUUUUAUGUGAUUAAAUGCGAAAUAGUAAGUGGUGACUGUGAUUAAGUAUGCGCUUGAGGGUAGGAAUAACUAAAAUCUAUGUGAGUAGUGAUUUUUAAUGUGUCAUGUUUCAUUGGAAAUCCCUGAGGCAAAUGUUGGAAGGUUUAGGUUAUGUUUUGUUUGUUUUGUUUCCUUUGUUUUGCUCGAGGACUAGCAAAAGCUAAGUGUGGGGGAAUUGAUUGGAGCAUAUUUAUGCGACUUAGUUAGCUUGUUUUCUUGCACUUUUAUAGUUAGUUUGUGGUUAUUAUAGUGUUUUAAGCUAUUUUCGUGUGUUUGUAAGUCCAAAUGACAAAGUAUGCAAAAAGUUGCAAUUUGGAGCCUUUUGGAGCAGUUUUGAGCAUAAAAUGGAUAUCACAUGCUUGGAGUCAAAUGGAUGGACGAAAUUAAAGAUCAAAGGAGGCAAGAAAUGAAUAAAAGAACAUGAAGAACAAAGAGUUCAGAAUUGGAAGCCAAAGUUUCUAAAGUUGGAGGUUUCCAUUCUUGAAAGUUUCUAUUCUUGGAUUGGAAGUUUCCUAAUCUUUUUUCACCUUGGUUCCAACCCUUGCCGCACCUCUCAAGCUUCUUCCCUCUUGGAUUCUGAUUUGUUAGGCCCUUUUCCUUGUGGAUUUGGGUUCUACAAAUCCUUUUCAGAAACUAAGUGGGCCAAAAAUCCUUUUCUUUGUUGAUUUAAACCCUAAACCAAAUCCUUAGGCCCUAAGCCUUAAAAUCUGCUAAGUUUAAACCCUAAUCUAUCUCCCCUAGCGUUGUGCCGCACCUAACACUUCUAGAAGCCUAAAAAUCUGCACAAACCCUAGUUAUUUUCUCCCUUGGAUGGGCCAAGCCUUUUAUCUUCAAAACCCUAACCCUUUUCCCAUCAGAUUUUGUGAAAACCCUAGCUUUGCCGUGCCUAUAUAUAUGUGUUUUUAAAGCCUAAAUUCGUCACCACCCUUCACACCAUUCAGAAACACCUUGCCACAACCCUAAUCACCAUUCUACAUCACAAAACACCAUCCUACAUCCAUAUACAUCUCUACCGCACCUUUUGGAGAAGAAGGAGAGCCUUGUCGUGCAUUCCAUUGAUGAAGGAGGGCCUUGUGCGCAAGCCAUCUGCAUCCUUGGGAGUUUUAAGAGUUCUUUCUUCCCUCGUUUCAGUUUCGAUGUUUAUUUUAAUUUGCUUUUCAAUUGCUAUGAACAUGUGGAACUAAACUCUUAUUAGUUAGUGGUGAAUUUUAAGCCAUGGACAUAUGUUAAUAUGAAUUGAUUCCUUUCAGUUAUUGUUUUGUAAAACAUGAAUGCGAUUUACUUAUCUAUUUGAUUGAUAACUUAUUCUUGUGUGUUGAUUAAAGAGGCCUACUUAGUUUGCAUGCUUGAAUCUGAAGCUAAAUUAUAAGGGACUUUCACCUAAUCGUUAGAAACUUAUAUUUACAAGUAGUGGAGAUUGUUAGUCACAAUCGUGUUAAGUAGAUUCUUGGCAAAAGUAUCAUGCAGUUCAUAGUUAUAAUUGCAUUGUCAAUGCUUAUGAUUUCCAUGGAAUUUAAUGAUCUUUGAAUGUAUCUCUAUCAUGUUGUUCAUAUAGGGAACUUGAGAAGAAUAAUUUGGGUUGUUGCAUGCAUUCAUCCAAUUCAAUUAAUUUAGGGAAAUCUGAUAGUUAAUUUGUGCAUUCACGAUUAAUUUGGGGCAUUGUCGUUAAUGGUUUAAAGAAACAAUACUGGAAAUUGAUUUAUGUUGCAUAUGUUCAUGUGUGGAGAAGGAUCCUCUAACUAUCUUUUCACCCUUGAAUUCAUCUCAAUUUCGUUUUAGUUUACUUUGAUUUGCAAUCUGUUUAGUUUUAAUUCAAUUUCGUCAGAAAUCAAACACCCUUUUCUAUUUUAUGUUAUUAGGUCAGAAUUUGUCCUAAUUAGGCUAUUUAGAGUGUUUUGAGUCAAUAUAGGUUAGGUUUAGUCCAUAAACAUUGUUUGGGUCUUAGUUUAGUUUUAAAUUCGUCCAAAUUCAUCUCUAGAAUCUGUUUUGAGUCUAAUUGUUAGUAUUGUGUUGUUUUGAGUCUUUUAAGUGUUUUCUGAGUUAGUUAAGUUACAAUCUGUUUUCCUUUAAUCUUUUGAGUCAAAGUAAGUUUUAAUUUCGUCCAAAUCACUUGUUAGGUCUAGAAUUGAAUCAAUUUCACUUAGUUUUGCAGAUUUGAGUAUUUUAGGUCAGUUUAGAGUCUAUAGAGUUUAUUCUUGUGUUUUUAAGUCUAGUUUAGUGUUUUAGAGUUUAAUUUGAGUAGAUUAGCAGCCCUAGUUAAUCCCCGGUUUAGAACGAUCCCUACUUACAUUUUUACUACAAUUGUCAUCAAUAUGGUUUAAUUUGUGUGUCAAGUAAUUUUCACAUUAACACAUGAGGAUAUUUUACACAAUAAUUUCUCUACACGGCACUAAUAUAAUGAAUGUCACUUCACUUGAGCUAAAUUAAUUGUGAUUUGAUAGUUUAUUAGGCUAUUCGAAUUUGUGAGGACUAAUGGCAGAUCACCAGAAUACUAAAAUCCAGAAAAGCCAAUGUACCUCAGAAAUCAGAAUUGAGGUCAGACUGCCGGUUCAUGAUUCCCAUAAGCCAUACCAUAUCCCCCUGCCCAAAUUCUAAAAUAUCGAUAAUAUUGGAAAUAUCGGUAGUCUAAAAAUAUGGAAAUUUUGAUGAAAAUAUCAGAAUAUUAUUGAUAUCAGUAAAAAUUGAAUAAAAACCACAGAAAUUAUAAGAAAAACUUGAAAAUUUUUAUUGAAACUUUACAUGAUGUUUAUUUAAUUAAUUAUCUAUUAGUUUAUCACAAAAAAUUGGAAGGAAAUGCAUUGCAUGAUGGAUUUAACUGAUUUAAGUUGAUUAUAUAGCGAGCUGGCAAAUAUUGUGAGUGUAGAAAAUAUGUAGUAAUUAAUGAAAAAAGUUUAAACACACCAUAAUCAUUUGUAUAUAAUGAAUUAGUACAAUAUUUUACACUUUAUACAUUGCAUGGUAAGAUACAUGAGUGACUUAAUACCACAUAGAUUUCCUAUCAAGGUCUAAAUAUCGAUGAUAUCAGAAAUAUCGGUAGUCUAAAAAUACAGAAAUUUCGAUGAAAAUAUCGGAAUAAUAUCGAUAUUUUAGACUUUGCCCUUGCCUUGUCUUGAUUAAGCAGCCCUCCUCUUUUUCAAGUUUUCAUGACCACCUUUGCCCCUUUUCUAAUCAAUGAUUCACUUCAAUCCCACACUCCAACUAAUAUACGCUACAUUUUUUUUUUCUUUUAAAAAACUUGCAACAUUCUCAUUUCAUUUAGGCUCUUUCGUUUACUUUUUUUUUUACUCUUCUUCUCAUUUUGUAGUGUUGUACUAUGAUCCAAAUCAUUUAUUUUUUAGGUUAAUCUUUAAAGAUUAUCUCUUUAAAAAAUUAGAAUCAUGUUUUAUGUUAAACAUUAAAAUUUUGACAACGUUAAUUGAACUGUUCAACUAUUUUUAUUUAGUUGAUAUUUUUCAUAAAGUUGAUCUUUAAAUGGUAAUUUAGAAAGUUGAUGGUUCAUAUUAUCUUACAACAUUGCAUAAUGAGAACGAGAGCCAUGAAAGUAAAAUAGAAAGUUGCGAGAGAGAAGUUUGCUAUCAACCUCUUUUUUCGGUAGAACGAGUCCAUGUGUUAAAUUUUCUGGACAAUACUCACUUCACAGUUGCACUUUCUUAUCCACUCGUUGUGAUUGAUGUACUUUAUUUGUGCAAUUGGUAAAAUCAGAAGCGUCCAUUUUCUUAAUCAUCAUUUAAAGAUAUAUCUACACACAUAAAAAAAGUAUUCAAAUUAGUGAUCUUUUAGACAUGCAUAUACUUCAAACAAAUGAACAAUUCAUCCUUAGAAUGCCAAUUGUUACCAAAGUCAUGAUCUAUUUUACACAUAAAGGGCCCGUUUGUUUGGCUUCGCUAAACAUCCUUGGACUAGACUGGACUGUAAUCCGGUGUUUGUUUCACACGGGCAACGUUUAAUGAGACUUGCUCUGACUGAGUCCGACUAACAGGUUCGCUAGAGGGUCUUAGCGAGACCCCCCGAAAUUGGGCGGACUGCUAAGACCACACUACUACGCUUCACUCCUACUCGUUUUGUCCUCCCAUCUGCCUCUUCCUCGCGUCCCACAAACCAUUUCAAACCCAAAUCCUGCAAAAUCUGCCUCUUCCACUUCGUCCUCCCAUGUGCCUCUUCAUCUCGUCCUCCCAUCUACCUCUUCCUCGCCUCUGCCUCUUCCUCUGCAACACCCUUUAAUCACCGCUCAAAUCUGAAACAAAGCUCCACCUACUGUCCAAACCUCAAAAUCCAACCACAAAAAUUUUAUAAAAAAAAACGCGAAAAAAUAACUACAAAAUUCAAAAUCCACCCAUUGCCAGAAAAUUAUGAGAUGACUUUGUAGGUGGAGAAGCCAACGCUUGUAUCAGAGGAAGGAGAGAGAUCCGAAAAUUUUUGGGAAAAAAAGGAUAAGGAAGGUGGAAAUUCUUAACAACGGCAAGAGGGUGAAGAGGAUGAGCUUGUUUUGAAGGAUUUGCGAUGAACUUUACACCUGCGUUUUGCAGGAAAAAGAUGGAGGAAAGAAGAAAUGGGGCUGAGCC